CCUACGGGAGGCAGCAGUGAGGAAUAUUGGUCAAUGGUCGGGAGACUGAACCAGCCAAGCCGCGUGAGGGAUGAAGGUACAGAGUAUCGUAAACCUCUUUUGUCAGGGAACAAAGGCGGGGACGUGUCCCCGGAUGAGUGUACCUGAAGAAUAAGCAUCGGCUAACUCCGUGCCAGCAGCCGCGGUAAUACGGAGGAUGCGAGCGUUAUCCGGAUUUUUUGGGUUUAAAGGGUGCGUAGGCGGUCGGUUAAGUGAGCGGUAAAAGCCGGGGGCACAACCCCGGCCGGCCGUUGCAACUGGGAGUUUCGAGUUGGAGAGAAGUAGGCGGAAUGCGGGGUGUGGCGGGGAAAUGCAUAGAUAUCG
Molecule: ribosomal RNA, 363 nt
Filed under: uncultured bacterium
Lineage: Bacteria
Description: partial 16S ribosomal RNA
Rfam family: Bacterial small subunit ribosomal RNA
Source: RNAcentral